ACAAGUGGAGAACCAGUGUUGACAAGGCCAAUUCAGUCAGGGUGGAUGUGGUCCAUUCCCCAGUAACUGGUGAGGAGGUGUCAAUACCAAGAGGGGGAAAAUUGCAUUUGUAGUGAGCCAACCACUCUCAGUCCCUGUUCAAGCCCAAAUUAAUGGUGUUAAGUUUUCAAAUGAAUUGUAGCUCUGCAGUUUCUCUUUGAAGUUUUUUUUUGAAUUUUUUUUGUUGAAG
This is a long non-coding RNA of Dermochelys coriacea (leatherback sea turtle), 229 nucleotides long. RefSeq lists it as uncharacterized. The record is from RefSeq and is a predicted model, not a curated record. NCBI's taxonomy places the organism in Eukaryota, Metazoa, Chordata, Testudines, Dermochelyidae. The transcript has 3 exons.